This 296-nucleotide ribosomal RNA is filed under the name Alima pacifica. RNAcentral's name for it is "partial large subunit ribosomal RNA". It matches the Rfam family "Eukaryotic large subunit ribosomal RNA", at positions 77 to 349 of the family's 3401-position model. Lineage: Eukaryota; Metazoa; Arthropoda; Malacostraca; Stomatopoda; Squillidae. The record is from RNAcentral.
CCCCCAGUAAGGGCGACUGAACGGGGAGGAGCCCAGCGCGGAACCUCGCGCGCCUUGCCGGCUGCGUCUGAGGAAUGUCGCGUUCCGGAGGGGCCUUCUCCGACCACACCGACCCCCCCCAAGUCCGCUUGAACGCGGCCACUGCCCACGGAGGGUGCGAGGCCCGUACGGGGAUUAGGAGUCGGGCGGUCGGACGGCCCCGUCCGUAGAGUCGGGUUGCCUACUAACGCAGCCCAAAGCAGGUGGUAAACUCCAUCUAAGGCUAAAUAUGACCACGAGACCGAUAGCGAACAAGU